Molecule: long non-coding RNA, 320 nt
Filed under: Carica papaya (papaya)
Lineage: Eukaryota; Viridiplantae; Streptophyta; Magnoliopsida; Brassicales; Caricaceae
Description: long non-coding RNA (CPAP_LNC009502)
Source: RNAcentral
GAACAAUGCUUCAAGGGUGCAAGUUGGAUCAUCACAUGAGGUACAGAAUAACAAUUCCUCGUUGCAGAUUGGAACCUCAUCAAACAAUGUUCAAAACAAUGCUUCAAGGGUGCAAGUUGGAUCAUCAUGUGAGGUACAUGAUAACAAUUCGUUGUUGCAGGUUGGAUCCUCAUUGAACAAUGUUCAAAACAAUGCUUCAAGGGCGCAAGUUGGAUCAUCAUAUGGGCUGCAGAAUAACAAUAUGCUUCUACAGCCUGGAUCGUCAUUAAACUGGCUGCAGAAUAAUUUGUCGAUGUUUCAUCCUAGACCCUCAUUUAAUU